This 203-nucleotide long non-coding RNA is filed under the name Jatropha curcas. RNAcentral's name for it is "long non-coding RNA (JCUR_LNC001175)". The record is from RNAcentral. Lineage: Eukaryota; Viridiplantae; Streptophyta; Magnoliopsida; Malpighiales; Euphorbiaceae.
CGUGGAGAGAAGCGGAGCAGCAGGUACGGUGGUGGCGCGACCAAGUGAAGGCUGUGCUGCUGCCGUGCGCUGCGCGAUCUGGCAGAGGGCACAGCUGCUGGCAGGGGGGCGCGGCGCAUUAAAAUAUUGAAAUAAAUUUUCAGGCUGUCAGUUUAUUAAAUUUAAUUGGAAAAUCUUUGAAAAUAAAAAUUCGGGUUGUUUCA